This 783-nucleotide ribosomal RNA is filed under the name uncultured Mycobacterium sp. Its description in RNAcentral is "bacterial SSU rRNA". It matches the Rfam family "Bacterial small subunit ribosomal RNA", at positions 558 to 1340 of the family's 1533-position model. The record is from RNAcentral. Lineage: Bacteria; Bacillati; Actinomycetota; Actinomycetes; Mycobacteriales; Mycobacteriaceae.
GCGUAAAGAGCUCGUAGGUGGUUUGUCGCGUUGUUCGUGAAAACUCACAGCUUAACUGUGGGCGUGCGGGCGAUACGGGCAGACUAGAGUACUGCAGGGGAGACUGGAAUUCCUGGUGUAGCGGUGGAAUGCGCAGAUAUCAGGAGGAACACCGGUGGCGAAGGCGGGUCUCUGGGCAGUAACUGACGCUGAGGAGCGAAAGCGUGGGGAGCGAACAGGAUUAGAUACCCUGGUAGUCCACGCCGUAAACGGUGGGUACUAGGUGUGGGUUCCUUCCUUGGGAUCCGUGCCGUAGCUAACGCAUUAAGUACCCCGCCUGGGGAGUACGGCCGCAAGGCUAAAACUCAAAGGAAUUGACGGGGGCCCGCACAAGCGGCGGAGCAUGUGGAUUAAUUCGAUGCAACGCGAAGAACCUUACCUGGGUUUGACAUGCACAGGACGCCGGCAGAGAUGUCGGUUCCCUUGUGGCCUGUGUGCAGGUGGUGCACGGCUGUCGUCAGCUCGUGUCGUGAGAUGUUGGGUUAAGUCCCGCAACGAGCGCAACCCUUGUCCUAUGUUGCCAGCGGGUUAUGCCGGGGACUCGUAGGAGACUGCCGGGGUCAACUCGGAGGAAGGUGGGGAUGACGUCAAGUCAUCAUGCCCCUUAUGUCCAGGGCUUCACACAUGCUACAAUGGCCGGUACAAAGGGCUGCGAUGCCGUGAGGUGGAGCGAAUCCUUUCAAAGCCGGUCUCAGUUCGGAUCGGGGUCUGCAACUCGACCCCGUGAAGUCGGAGUCGCUAGUA